RNAcentral lists this transfer RNA (75 nucleotides) under Bacteroidetes bacterium QS_9_68_14. Its description in RNAcentral is "tRNA-Thr". It matches the Rfam family "tRNA". From Rfam's summary of the family: Transfer RNA (tRNA) molecules are approximately 80 nucleotides in length. Lineage: Bacteria; Pseudomonadati; Bacteroidota. The record is from RNAcentral.
GCCGCCUUAGCUCAGCGGUAGAGCGCCUCCAUGGUAAGGAGGAGGUCUCGGGUUCAACUCCCGAAGGCGGCUCCG